GAUGAACGCUGGCGGCGUGCUUAACACAUGCAAGUCGAACGGAAAGGCCCUGCUUUUGUGGGGUGCUCGAGUGGCGAACGGGUGAGUAACACGUGAGUAACCUGCCCUUGACUUUGGGAUAACUUCAGGAAACUGGGGCUAAUACCGGAUAGGAGCUCCUGCUGCAUGGUGGGGGUUGGAAAGUUUCGGCGGUAGGGGAUGGACUAGCGGCUUAUCAGCUUGUUGGUGGGGUAGUGGCUUACCAAGGCUUUGAAGGGUAGCCGGCCUGGGAGGGUGACCGGCCACAUUGCGACUGCGAUACGGCCCAGACUGCUACGUGAGGCAGCAGUGGGGAAUAUUGCACAAUGGGCGGAAGCCUGAUGCAGCAACGCCGCGUGCGUGAUGACGUCCUUCGGGUUGUAAACCGCUUUCGCCUGUGACGAAGCGUGAGUGACGGUAAUGGGUAAAGAAGCACCGGCUAACUACGUG
RNAcentral lists this ribosomal RNA (468 nucleotides) under uncultured bacterium. Its description in RNAcentral is "partial 16S ribosomal RNA". It matches the Rfam family "Bacterial small subunit ribosomal RNA", at positions 28 to 507 of the family's 1533-position model. The record is from RNAcentral.